GUUUUAAUAGUUUAAAAUAAAACAUUGGUCUUGUAAAUCAAAACUAAGAUUUAAUAUCUUUUAAAGCU
RNAcentral lists this transfer RNA (68 nucleotides) under Typhoptera quadrituberculata. RNAcentral's name for it is "tRNA-Thr". It matches the Rfam family "tRNA". From Rfam's summary of the family: Transfer RNA (tRNA) molecules are approximately 80 nucleotides in length. Their secondary structure includes four short double-helical elements and three loops (D, anti-codon, and T loops). Further hydrogen bonds mediate the characteristic L-shaped molecular structure. tRNAs have two regions of fundamental functional importance: the anti-codon, which is responsible for specific mRNA codon recognition, and the 3' end, to which the tRNAs corresponding amino acid is attached (by aminoacyl-tRNA synthetases). tRNAs cope with the degeneracy of the genetic code in two manners: having more than one tRNA (with a specific anti-codon) for a particular amino acid; and 'wobble' base-pairing, i.e. permitting non-standard base-pairing at the 3rd anti-codon position. Lineage: Eukaryota; Metazoa; Arthropoda; Insecta; Orthoptera; Tettigoniidae. The record is from RNAcentral.